CCUACGGAAGGCAGCAGUGGGGAAUAUUGCACAAUGGGGGAAACCCUGAUGCAGCGACGCCGCGUGAGUGAAGAAGUAUUUCGGUAUGUAAAGCUCUAUCAGCAGGGAAGAAGAAAGACGGUACCUGACUAAGAAGCCCCGGCGAACUACGUGCCAGCAGCCGCGGUACUACGUAGGGGGCAAGCGUUAUCCGGAUUUACUGGGUGUAAAGGGAGCGUAGACGGCUGUGCAAGUCUGAAGUGAAAGCCCAGGGCUCAACCCUGGGACUGCUUUGGAAACUGUGGAGCUAGAGUGCUGGAGAGGUAAGUGGAAUUCCUAGUGUAGCGGUGAAAUGCAUAGAUAUUAGGAGGAACACCAGUGGCGAAGGCGGCUUACUGGACAGUAACUGACGUUGAGGCUCGAAAGCGUGGGGAGCAAACAGGAUUAGAUACCCGGGUAGUC
RNAcentral lists this ribosomal RNA (441 nucleotides) under uncultured bacterium. Its description in RNAcentral is "partial 16S ribosomal RNA". It matches the Rfam family "Bacterial small subunit ribosomal RNA", at positions 338 to 795 of the family's 1533-position model. The record is from RNAcentral.